This 424-nucleotide ribosomal RNA is filed under the name Verrucomicrobiota bacterium. RNAcentral describes it as "Verrucomicrobia bacterium partial 16S ribosomal RNA". It matches the Rfam family "Bacterial small subunit ribosomal RNA", at positions 355 to 776 of the family's 1533-position model. Lineage: Bacteria; Pseudomonadati; Verrucomicrobiota. The record is from RNAcentral.
UGAGGAAUAUUGGUCAAUGGACGCAAGUCUGAACCAGCCAAGUAGCGUGCAGGAUGACGGCCCUAUGGGUUGUAAACUGCUUUUAUAUGGGGAUAAAGUGGGGAACGUGUUCCCUUUUGCAGGUACCAUAUGAAUAAGGACCGGCUAAUUCCGUGCCAGCAGCCGCGGUAAUACGGAAGGUUCGGGCGUUAUCCGGAUUUAUUGGGUUUAAAGGGAGCGUAGGCCGUUUGGUAAGCGUGUUGUGAAAUGUAGGAGCUCAACUUCUAGAUUGCAGCGCGAACUGUCAGACUUGAGUGCGCACAACGUAGGCGGAAUUCAUGGUGUAGCGGUGAAAUGCUUAGAUAUCAUGAAGAACUCCGAUUGCGAAGGCAGCUUACGGAAGCGCAACUGACGCUGAAGCUCGAAGGUGCGGGUAUCGAACAGG